This 503-nucleotide long non-coding RNA is filed under the name Ananas comosus (pineapple). RNAcentral's name for it is "long non-coding RNA (ACOM_LNC000886)". Lineage: Eukaryota; Viridiplantae; Streptophyta; Magnoliopsida; Poales; Bromeliaceae. The record is from RNAcentral.
UCGGCCGCGGUUCGCGCCUUGAUUGGCGGCGGUUCCUUUCCAUUUUCUUCUCCACAUGCUCCUCUUCUCCUUCUGCACCCUCAUCGUCUCUCCAUUUUGGCGACAGUAGGGAGGAAAUCGAGGUGUGUGUGGAUGAAGAGGCGGGCAAGGGCAACGAGGGAGAAGGCGAGGUGGCGGAGGAGGGCGAGGGGGUGUUUGUGGGUGCGGACGAAAAUAUGGGCGAGGGCGAGGCAGUGGAAGAGGGCGAGGCGGUGAGGCAGAGGAAGGCGAAGCAACAGUAGAGAGGGCGGGUGUAUUUUUGGCAUAAAAAAUAUUUUAUAAUGGAACCCUAACGGAUCAUUAAUAGUAGGGGGUGAAGUGCACAUUUUUUAUUUUAUAAGGGGGCAAAGUGUAGGUUUUUAACUGACAUGGGGAAAAAGUGAAAAAUCAGAUUUUUGACAGGGGGGUUUUCUGUAAUUUAGCCAAUGGAGUAUAUAAUUUUUCUAUUGAAGAAGUAGUAUAUG